Molecule: ribosomal RNA, 429 nt
Filed under: Fusobacteriota bacterium
Lineage: Bacteria; Fusobacteriati; Fusobacteriota
Description: Fusobacteria bacterium partial 16S ribosomal RNA
Rfam family: Bacterial small subunit ribosomal RNA
Source: RNAcentral
UGGGGAAUCUUCCGCAAUGGACGAAAGUCUGACGGAGCAACGCCGCGUGAGUGAAGACGGCCUUCGGGUUGUAAAGCUCUGUGAUCCGGGACGAAAGAGCCUGAGGUAAAUAGCCUAAGGAAGUGACGGUACCGGAAAAGCAAGCAACGGCUAACUACGUGCCAGCAGCCGCGGUAAUACGUAGGUGGCAAGCGUUGUCCGGAAUUAUUGGGCGUAAAGCGCGCGCAGGCGGCUUACUAAGUCCAUCUUAAAAGUGCGGGGCUUAACCCCGUGAUGGGAUGGAAACUGGAAAGCUGGAGUAUCGGAGAGGAAAGUGGAAUUCCUAGUGUAGCGGUGAAAUGCGUAGAGAUUAGGAAGAACACCGGUGGCGAAGGCGACUUUCUGGACGAAAACUGACGCUGAGGCGCGAAAGCGUGGGGAGCAAACAGG